This 459-nucleotide ribosomal RNA is filed under the name uncultured bacterium. Its description in RNAcentral is "partial 16S ribosomal RNA". It matches the Rfam family "Bacterial small subunit ribosomal RNA", at positions 338 to 795 of the family's 1533-position model. The record is from RNAcentral.
CCUACGGGUGGCAGCAGUGAGGAAUAUUGGUCAAUGGCCGAGAGGCUGAACCAGCCAAGUCGCGUGAGGGAAGAAUGUCCUAUGGAUUGUAAACCUCUUUUGUCAGGGAGUAAAGUCUUCCACGUGUGGGUGUUUGAGAGUACCUGAAGAAAAAGCAUCGGCUAACUCCGUGCCAGCAGCCGCGGUAAUACGGAGGAUGCGAGCGUUAUCCGGAUUUAUUGGGUUUAAAGGGUGCGUAGGCGGGUUAUCAAGUCAGCGGUAAAGUCGUGGGGCUAAACGCCAUCGAGCCGUUGAAACUGAUGAUCUUGAGUGGGCGAGAGGUAUGCGGAAUGCGUGGUGUAGCGGUGAAAUGCAUAGAUAUCACGCAGAACUCCGAUUGCGAAGGCAGCAUACCGGCGCCCGACUGACGCUGAAGCACGAAAGCGUGGGUAUCGAACAGGAUUAGAUACCCGAGUAGUC